RNAcentral lists this transfer RNA (72 nucleotides) under Ateleopus japonicus (Pacific jellynose fish). Its description in RNAcentral is "tRNA-Asp". It matches the Rfam family "tRNA". Rfam says of the family: Transfer RNA (tRNA) molecules are approximately 80 nucleotides in length. Lineage: Eukaryota; Metazoa; Chordata; Actinopteri; Ateleopodiformes; Ateleopodidae. The record is from RNAcentral.
AAAAUACUAGUAAAGCCCACAUUACAUUGCCUUGUCAAGGCAAAAUCGUGGGUUAAAAUCCCACGUAUUUUA